GGCUCCCCCGCGCCGCCUGGGCUCCGGCCGCGCCUCGGUGUGUCCCCGCAGGCUGAGCGGGGGCGGCGGGGCGGGCUGAGGUGCCUCCAGCACCCCGAGUCUCCGGCAGGCUCUUCCUCAGCCGGUGACAGCCGGUGGAAGCGAAAGGUCCCUGCACCCUCUGAGUCGCUCUAGAGCGAGGGCCACGGGCUCCGCCGUGGGCGUUGGGGCGCCUGUCACUGGAGAGCGGAAAUGUUAAGGGGGGGAAAAAAAAGAGGUAAAACAAUAUAAGACGUACCUGAAGUUUGCUGGCCCUCUCGCACAAAUCCUGUGUGCCCAUCAUCAUUUUGAGGACCUCAGUAUACGCUUGCAGUUACGUGGAUGAGGAAGAUGCAGAAACUCUUGUGAAAACUUGACUCCCCCUCACCUCGCUUGCUGCAGAGUCUAAUUCACCAGUAACAGAAAGCAAUUGUGUUUUUCAAGGCCUGCUGUAUUAUAUGAAAUAAUCAGUGGGUGGAGGAGGUUUACAAGAAAAAUUGUUCCAUCUGUAUGCUCUAGAGCCUUCAUAAAACAUGAGAAUAAGAAACACAGAAUCAUUAAGAUUGGAAAACACUACUAAGAUCAUCAAGUCCAAACAUUACCAUUGCACUGCCAGGUCCACCACUAAGCCAUGUCCCUAAGCACCACAUCUACAUGGUUUGUGUUCACUUCCAGAGAUGAUGAUUUCACCACUUCCUUGGACAGUCUGUUCCCAUGCUGACCACCCUUUCCAUGAAGAAAUUUUUCCUAAUAUCCAAUGUCAACAUCCCCUGGAGCAACUUGAAGCCAUUUCCUCUUGUCCUAUUACAUGUUGCCUGGGAGAAGAGAGUGACCCCCACCUUGCUACAACCUCAUUUUGGGAAGUUGUAGAGAACAAUAAGAUCUCCCCAGAGACUCCUCUCUCCAGGCUAAACAUCCCCAGCUCUCUCAGCUGCCCUUCACUUGUGCUCCAGACCCCUCACCAGCUCUGUUGCCCUUCUCUGGACACACUUCAGCCCCUCAAUGACCUUCCUGAGCUGAGGGGCCCAGAACUGGGCACAGAACUUGAGGUGAGGCCGAGUACAGGGGGAUGRUCASUGSCCUGGUCCUGCUGGCCACACUAUUGCUGAUCCAGGCCAGGAUGCCAUUGGCCUUCUUGGCCACCUGGGCACAGCUGGCUCAUGUUCAGCUGCUAUUGAUCAGCACUCCCAGGUCUUUUUGUGCUGGGCAGCUUUCCAGCCACUCUGUCCCCAGCCCGUAGCACUGCAGAGGUUUGUGUGACACAAGGAUCUGGAACGUGGCGUUAUUGAAUCUUGUACCAUUGGCUUUGGCCCAUCAAUCCAGCCUGUCCAGAUCCCUCUGCAGAGCCUUCCUGCCCUCCAGCAGAUCAUGCUAAUGCCCAGCUUGAUGUCAUCCACAAACUGACUGAGGGUGCCCCUGAUCCCCUCAUCAGACCAUUGAUAAACCUAUUAAACAGGACUGGCCCCACCAGUGAUCCCUGGGAAGCUCCAUUGUUGACGUGGUUGCCAGCUGGAUGAAGCUCCAGUCAGUGCCACUCUCUGGGCCCAGCCAUCCACACAGUUUAUUACCCAGUGAGCAGAGCACCAUCCAGGCCCUGACAGCCAUGUGAAGCUGUUCCAUACUUUGAUGUGUCUUUGACACUCUUUCUAUUAUAGACAUGAUAGUAUUUUACAAGUUAAAACAAUAGUUUUAUAGGGUCUUUUUUUCUGAGAUGGAAUGUCAAAACUGCAUACUUUUUAGUCCAUGUACCAUGGGAACAUGGUCGUUUUGUAUUGUUUCAGAAUUAUUUCUCCCUCUUUCCUAGUAGCUUAUAUUGUGUGCCUUUUUGAAUCCUGGUGCAUAUUGAACUGCUAUUUUCAAAGAAUUACCCACAAUGACUCCUCUUAAGACCACCUCUCACUAUGAUAAUAUUAAGGGAUUAUAUUUUUAUAUGAUUUCACCUUAUGUGUUAUGCUGUCUUUAUUGAUUUUAUGCAUCCAUGAUCCAUUUUAAGAACAUGAGAAUGAUUGCACUAGGUUAGACUAGAGGUUACCCUAGGCCAGUUUCCUGCCUCCUCCACUGGCUAAAAUAAAAUGCUGUUAAAAAAAACAAAACAUUAGAACCGGGCAAUCAUGUAUUGUUACUUUGUCAGAGUAUUCUCCCCAGCUCCAGCAGUUUGCAGUUCAGGAAAUUCCAAAGUCAGAGAUACUGUCUUUGUAGUUAAUGAAUUUUACUUCCUGUGCUCACUACAGCGUAAUUCUCCUGCAAAUGCUAGCAGUACGUUUUAGAUUUGACUGUCCUGACUAAUUUUUAUCACAAUUAAUGCUUCCUCGUAUUCUGUCCCUAUACCAUUAGACUUAAUUGAAAUAAUAAAGCCCAUUAAUGUUCAUCAAAUUUUUAAGUUUGUGUAGAACCUCAGUUAACKGAUCAUUCCACUCUUUUUUAGUCAUAUCUAAUGUAGUUUUUGUUUAUUCCAGCUCUUUCUCAACUCUGAAACUGUAUAAUUUCUUACUUUGGCUUGUUUGGCUACAAGUUUUUUUUCACAGAAGGUAGAAAACUCUUAUUUGAGGAGGAGAUUAAUGGAAUUUGAGGCAUCCUUUGACUGUUUAAGCCAAAGCAUGCUGCUGCUUAAGCUGUAGAAAUUCUGUACCAGCUGCAACUGUUCAAGUGAUUCACUAUUUUUUGAGAAGACAUGAUAUGAAUAGGGAUAAAAGUGGGAAGAACUGAUAAGUACCUUGAUUUAAAAUGUUUAUGCUUAACCCUUUAUUAUGUUCACAUGGUAUUUUGACAAUAAAUAUUGUAC
Molecule: long non-coding RNA, 2800 nt
Organism: Malurus melanocephalus (red-backed fairy wren)
Lineage: Eukaryota; Metazoa; Chordata; Aves; Passeriformes; Maluridae
Exons: 3
Source: RefSeq, a predicted model, not a curated record